GGGGCAUUAGGCUCCAUCUUUUGUAGGAAGGUGUAUCCAAGAAUUUGUGAACAUCUUUUUAAACCAGCACAUUAGCUGUCAUUAGAAUUUGAAGAAAUGAGAAUUGGCUGAUUCUAAGCCUGGGGCAGAAAAUACCCGUAAUGAGGAGCCUGGAGGAUCUUUUACUAUCAAAAGAAGAGAAGUCCAAACCCACUGAUUUUUUGGGUCUCUGUAUGUGAUGUGACGUAGCAGUCUUCUGUUUGAAACUCAGGAAAGAAACAAUUGGGAUCCAAACAGUCAAAUAUGCAGCUUGAUUUGCUAUUUGGCUCAAGGAGCAGAAGAGGACAGAGGAAGUUACAGUGCAUUUCCAUUUCUUGUCCAAUUUCCAGUCCCAUGUCAGUAGAGCUGAACCUUGGAUGGCCUAGCAACAUCUCUUCGGAGGUCUGCUUGGCAGAGAGAAGGAAGGAGCUUGUGUUGGAAAACAGCAUUCUGCAGCUCUCAGCCCACAGCUGUCCAUCCCCUCUGACCCCUGUCAGUUCUACAAUGGGGAGAACAAGAUAAGGAAUACUCCCCUUCUCAUCAAAAAGACAAGAAUUUUAUAUAUAGCAGGCACCACACAGUGCCUCCUUGGCCAACAUCCAGGCUGCCUAGAGGAAUUUGUCUACAACAAAACAAAUAAAAGCUGUCCUGUGACUCAAACAGCGGGUGGUCUAAGUCCACUACACAGCAGCUUCUCUAU
This 718-nucleotide long non-coding RNA is filed under the name Equus caballus (horse). RNAcentral's name for it is "lncRNA (ENSECAG00000047742.1)". The record is from RNAcentral. Lineage: Eukaryota; Metazoa; Chordata; Mammalia; Perissodactyla; Equidae.